RNAcentral lists this transfer RNA (73 nucleotides) under marine sediment metagenome. Its description in RNAcentral is "tRNA-Arg". It matches the Rfam family "tRNA". From Rfam's summary of the family: Transfer RNA (tRNA) molecules are approximately 80 nucleotides in length. Their secondary structure includes four short double-helical elements and three loops (D, anti-codon, and T loops). Further hydrogen bonds mediate the characteristic L-shaped molecular structure. tRNAs have two regions of fundamental functional importance: the anti-codon, which is responsible for specific mRNA codon recognition, and the 3' end, to which the tRNAs corresponding amino acid is attached (by aminoacyl-tRNA synthetases). tRNAs cope with the degeneracy of the genetic code in two manners: having more than one tRNA (with a specific anti-codon) for a particular amino acid; and 'wobble' base-pairing, i.e. permitting non-standard base-pairing at the 3rd anti-codon position. The record is from RNAcentral.
GCGUCCGUAGUCUAACUGGCAGGCACCUGCAUUCUAAUCAGGUAUUAUGCGGAUUCGAGUUCCGCCGGGCGCC